UACGGAGGGUGCAAGCAUUAAUCGGAUUUAUUGGGCGUAAAGGGCGCGUAGGCGGGUUUGUAAGUCAGAUGUGAAAUUCCGAAGCUUAACUUCGGAGCUGCAUUUGAAACUAUGAGCCUAGAGGGUAGGCGGAGAAAACGGAAUUCCACGUGUAGCGGUGAAAUGCGUAGAUAUGUGGAAGAACACCGGUGGCGAAAGCGGUUUUCUAGCUUAUACCUGACGCUGAGGCGCGAAAGUAAGGGGAGCAAACAGG
Molecule: ribosomal RNA, 253 nt
Filed under: uncultured Parachlamydia sp.
Lineage: Bacteria; Pseudomonadati; Chlamydiota; Chlamydiia; Parachlamydiales; Parachlamydiaceae
Description: partial 16S ribosomal RNA
Rfam family: Bacterial small subunit ribosomal RNA
Source: RNAcentral